UGGGAAAGGAAGUCAAGACUUUCCAGGAGC
Molecule: non-coding RNA, 30 nt
Filed under: Mus musculus (house mouse)
Lineage: Eukaryota; Metazoa; Chordata; Mammalia; Rodentia; Muridae
Also listed under: 1 other name
Source: RNAcentral